Molecule: ribosomal RNA, 232 nt
Filed under: uncultured bacterium
Lineage: Bacteria
Description: partial 16S ribosomal RNA
Rfam family: Bacterial small subunit ribosomal RNA
Source: RNAcentral
GAUCAUGGCUCAGGAUGAACGCUAGCUACAGGCUUAACACAUGCAAGUCGAGGGGAAACGACAUCGAAAGCUUGCUUUUGAUGGGCGUCGACCGGUGCACGGGUGAGUAACGCGUAUCCAACCUGCCUACCACUUGGGGAUAACCUUGCGAAAGUAAGACUAAUACCCAAUGACAUCCCACGAAUACAUCUGAAUGGGAUUAAAGAUUUAUCGGUGAUGGAUGGGGAUGCGU